This 27-nucleotide non-coding RNA is filed under the name Mus musculus (house mouse). The record is from RNAcentral. Lineage: Eukaryota; Metazoa; Chordata; Mammalia; Rodentia; Muridae.
UGGAAUUGAAUUCGGUCGUCUUGAAGA